Zea mays is the source of this 637-nucleotide long non-coding RNA. RefSeq lists it as uncharacterized. Lineage: Eukaryota; Viridiplantae; Streptophyta; Magnoliopsida; Poales; Poaceae. The transcript is spliced from 2 exons. The record is from RefSeq and is a predicted model, not a curated record.
GCCAUUGUUCUUCGUCGAUCCGCCCUGGAGUACGUUGCCCCUCUCGCCCCUCAAUGUUGGCUUGCUAGAUCCAUCGUGGGGUGGUUGGAUUUGUCGCCGUUCAACUUCUUCGGCUGAAUCUUGUCGAUGUCUAGCUUCUUCGGUCGUCAGCUCGCCAUCGUACCUUCGUCUCACUCCUCCUCAGGGAAUAGCCACCAAAACUUUGAUCUCAACUCCUAGGAAGAAAGCUUUCCCUUCCUUGGUUCAUACACUGGAUUCCUUCAACAGAAUUUUGGGGUCGCUGAGCAUGGAAUGCCUACAUUAACCCAUAUAGGCUGAUCUCGUCCCGACACUUUUAAUCAUCCUCGUUUUAGUGAUGGUAGUGCUCGAGCUCGCCAUAGCAGUUCACGUUCCAGCAACUGUCAUGGUAGCUCAUUACACAUUGGAGCCUAGUCCAGUAGGCAAACCUUGAGGUUGUGCUUGCAAACUGGUUCCAAGUUCCUUCUCUAGAGAUGGGAGUCUGAGGGCGUGGGAGAUUUAGGCCAAUGGACCAUAUCUCAGAAGAAUACAACAAUGAAGAUGAAGAAGACAACCCCAUACAGAUGGUAUGUUAUAUGUUAUUUGUGUAUGUUUAAUUUCAGGAGAUUAUGUUUAUGUC